Transfer RNA from Fusarium langsethiae, 101 nucleotides. It matches the Rfam family "tRNA". Rfam says of the family: Transfer RNA (tRNA) molecules are approximately 80 nucleotides in length. Their secondary structure includes four short double-helical elements and three loops (D, anti-codon, and T loops). Further hydrogen bonds mediate the characteristic L-shaped molecular structure. tRNAs have two regions of fundamental functional importance: the anti-codon, which is responsible for specific mRNA codon recognition, and the 3' end, to which the tRNAs corresponding amino acid is attached (by aminoacyl-tRNA synthetases). tRNAs cope with the degeneracy of the genetic code in two manners: having more than one tRNA (with a specific anti-codon) for a particular amino acid; and 'wobble' base-pairing, i.e. permitting non-standard base-pairing at the 3rd anti-codon position. The record is from Rfam. Lineage: Eukaryota; Fungi; Ascomycota; Sordariomycetes; Hypocreales; Nectriaceae.
GACAACGUGGCCGAGUGGUUAAGGCGAUGCCCUGCUAUUUCUUGUAAGAACUAUCAUAGGCAUUGUGUUCGCACGCGUAGGUUCGAAUCCUGCCGUUGUCG